Molecule: ribosomal RNA, 440 nt
Filed under: uncultured bacterium
Lineage: Bacteria
Description: bacterial SSU rRNA
Rfam family: Bacterial small subunit ribosomal RNA
Source: RNAcentral
CCUACGGGUGGCAGCAGUUGGGAAUCUUGCACAAUGGGGGAAACCCUGAUGCAGCGACGCCGCGUGGAGGACGAAGGGUCUAGGCCUGUAAACUCCUUUUAUCGGGAAAGACUUAGGACGGUACCCGAUGAAUAAGGACCGGCUAACUACGUGCCAGCAGCCGCGGUAAGACGUAGGGUCCAAGCGUUGUCCGGAUUUACUGGGCGUAAAGAGCGCGUAGGCGGCUCGUUAAGUGUGGAGUGAAAGCUCGGGGCUCAACCCCGAAACCGCUCCGCAUACUGGCGAGCUUGAGGGAUGCAGAGGUAUGUGGAAUUCCUGGUGUAGCGGUGAAAUGCGUUGAUAUCAGGAGGAACACCCAUGGCGAAGGCAGCAUACUGGGCAUCAUCUGACGCUGAGGCGCGAAAGCGUGGGUAGCAAACAGGAUUAGAUACCCUUGUAGU